GUGAAAUUGUUGAAAGGGAAACGAUUAAAGUCAGUCGUACGAACGGGAAUUAAUCUUUUGAGGAUGGAUUUGUGAGAUUCAAAGUGUCUUUAUUUCUACAAUCUUCUUUUUUGGGUGCAUGUUCGCGUAAUGUAGGUCCGUAUCGGUUUUGAUUGUUAUAAAAUAACUGGAGGAAUGUGUAAUGUAUUAUAGCCUUUGGUAGAUGUAACGGUUGGGAUUGCAACGAAUACCCUUGUGGGCUAUCCGCCUUGUCACACUGAUUUCGAAAGCUUUAUUGUUAUGGUGUUAUAGUGUGCGAUCAAGAGGUUAGAACGGAUUAAAUUCGCUAAGGAAGUUGACGUAAUGGCUUUAAACGAC
Molecule: ribosomal RNA, 357 nt
Filed under: uncultured Glomus
Lineage: Eukaryota; Fungi; Glomeromycota; Glomeromycetes; Glomerales; Glomeraceae
Description: partial 28S ribosomal RNA
Source: RNAcentral